UACGUAGGGGGCUAGCGUUGUCCGGAAUCAUUGGGCGUAAAGAGCGUGUAGGCGGCCCGGUAAGUCCGCUGUAAAAGUCAAAGGCUCAACCUUUGAAUGUCAGUGGAUACUGCCGGGCUAGAGUCCGGAAGAGGCGAGUGGAACUCCUGGUGUAGCGGUGGAAUGCGCAGAUAUCAGGAAGAACACCAACGGCGAAGGCAGCUCGCUGGGACGGUACCGACGCUGAGACGCGAAAGCGUGGGGAGCGAACAGG
This 253-nucleotide ribosomal RNA is filed under the name uncultured bacterium. RNAcentral describes it as "partial 16S ribosomal RNA". It matches the Rfam family "Bacterial small subunit ribosomal RNA", at positions 524 to 776 of the family's 1533-position model. The record is from RNAcentral.